UACGAAGGGGGCUAGCGUUGCUCGGAAUCACUGGGCGUAAAGGGCGCGUAGGCGGACUUUUAAGUCAGGGGUGAAAUCCUGAGGCUCAACCUCAGAACUGCCUUUGAUACUGAGGGUCUCGAGACCGGUAGAGGUAAGUGGAACUGCGAGUGUAGAGGUGAAAUUCGUAGAGUAUUCGCAAGAACACCAGUGGCGAAGGCGGCUCACUGGCCCAUUACUGACGCUGAGGCACGAAAGCGUGGGGAGCAAACAGGG
RNAcentral lists this ribosomal RNA (255 nucleotides) under uncultured bacterium. RNAcentral's name for it is "partial 16S ribosomal RNA". It matches the Rfam family "Bacterial small subunit ribosomal RNA", at positions 524 to 777 of the family's 1533-position model. The record is from RNAcentral.